This 497-nucleotide ribosomal RNA is filed under the name uncultured bacterium. Its description in RNAcentral is "partial 16S ribosomal RNA". It matches the Rfam family "Bacterial small subunit ribosomal RNA", at positions 28 to 507 of the family's 1533-position model. The record is from RNAcentral.
GAUGAACGCUGGCGGCGUGCCUAAUACAUGCAAGUCGAGCGAACGGACGAGAAGCUUGCUUCUCUGAUGUUAGCGGCGGACGGGUGAGUAACACGUGGAUAACCUACCUAUAAGACUGGGAUAACUUCGGGAAACCGGAGCUAAUACCGGAUAAUAUUUUGAACCGCAUGGUUCAAAAGUGAAAGACGGUCUUGCUGUCACUUAUAGAUGGAUCCGCGCUGCAUUAGCUAGUUGGUAAGGUAACGGCUUACCAAGGCAACGAUGCAUAGCCGACCUGAGAGGGGGAUCGGCCACACUGGAACUGAGACACGGUCCUGACUCCUACGGGAGGCAGCAGUAGGGAAUCUUCCGCAAUGGGCGAAAGCCUGACGGAGCAACGCCGCGUGAGUGAUGAAGGUCUUCGGAUCGUAAAACUCUGUUAUUAGGGAAGAACAUAUGUGUAAGUAACUGUGCACAUCUUGACGGUACCUAAUCAGAAAGCCACGGCUAACUACGUG